RNAcentral lists this ribosomal RNA (852 nucleotides) under uncultured bacterium. Its description in RNAcentral is "bacterial SSU rRNA". It matches the Rfam family "Bacterial small subunit ribosomal RNA", at positions 8 to 856 of the family's 1533-position model. The record is from RNAcentral.
AGAGUUUGAUCCUGGCUCAGGACUAACGCUGGCGGUGCGCCUAACACAUGCAAGUCGUACGAGCCCUUCGGGGCGAGUGGCAAACGGGUGAGUAACGCGUAGGCAACCUGCCCUUCAGAUGGGGACAACACCUCGAAAGGGGUGCUAAUACCGAAUGACGUUUCCUGGUCGCAUAACCUGGAAACCAAAGGCCGGGCAACCGGUCACUGAAGGAUGGGCCUGCGUCUGAUUAGCUAGUUGGUGGGGUAACGGCCCACCAAGGCGACGAUCAGUAGCCGGUCUGAGAGGAUGAACGGCCACAUUGGGACUGAGACACGGCCCAAACUCCUACGGGAGGCAGCAGUGGGGAAUCUUCCGCAAUGGGCGCAAGCCUGACGGAGCAACGCCGCGUGAGUGAAGAAGGUUUUCGGAUCGUAAAGCUCUGUUGAGAGGGACGAGAGAUAUAAUCAGGAAAUGGGUUAUAGAGGACGGUACCUUUCGAGGAAGCCACGGCUAACUACGUGCCAGCAGCCGCGGUAAUACGUAGGUGGCGAGCGUUGUCCGGAAUUAUUGGGCGUAAAGGGAGCGCAGGUGGGAAAGUAAGUCAGUCUUAAAAGUUCGGGGCUCAACCCCGUGAUGGGAUUGAAACUACUUUUCUUGAGUGCAGGAGAGGAAAGCGGAAUUCCUAGUGUAGCGGUGAAAUGCGUAGAUAUUAGGAGGAACACCAGUGGCGAAGGCGGCUUUCUGGACUGUAACUGACACUGAGGCUCGAAAGCGUGGGGAGCGAACAGGGUUAGAUACCCUGGUAGUCCACGCCGUAGACGAUGAAUGCUAGGUGUAGGAGGUAUCGACCCCUUCUGUGCCGGAGUUAAC